GACGGAGGAUGCAAGCGUUGUCCGGAAUGAUUGGGCGUAAAGCGUUCGCAGGUGGCUAUUCAAGUCUGCUGUCAAAGACCGCGGCUUAACCCGAGAGAGGCAGUGGAAACUGAAUUGCUGGAGUGCAGGUGGGGUAGAGGGAAUUCCCAGUGUAGCGGUGAAAUGCGUAGAGAUUGGGAAGAAGACCAGUGGGGAAAGCGGGCUGCUGGGCUGCAACUGACGCUGAGGGACGAAAGCUAGGGGAGCAAACCGG
RNAcentral lists this ribosomal RNA (253 nucleotides) under uncultured bacterium. RNAcentral's name for it is "partial 16S ribosomal RNA". It matches the Rfam family "Bacterial small subunit ribosomal RNA", at positions 524 to 776 of the family's 1533-position model. The record is from RNAcentral.